AGCAAUGUUCUUCUAGAUGAAAACUUUGAGGCCAGAGUUUCUGAUUUUGGCAUGGCCAGAUUGGUGAAUGCUCUCGACACGCAUCUUAGCGUUAGCACACUUGCAGGAACUCCCGGUUAUGUGCCUCCUGAGUAUUAUCAGAGCUUUAGGUGCACAACAAAGGGAGAUGUUUACAGCUAUGGUGUCAUACUGCUAGAGCUACUCUCAGGUAAGAAGCCAAUAGACCCAUCGGAGUUUGGGGAUGACAACAACCUUGUAGGAUGGGCAAAACAACUUCACAUGGAAGAUAGAGACAAUGGGAUACUGGAUACUGAGUUAACAGUGCAAAAAUCUUGUGAGGGUGAAUUACAUCAGUAUCUGAGAAUUGCUUUUGCGUGCCUUGAAGAAAAGCCUUUCAAGAGACCGACAAUGAUUCAGGUGAUGGCCAUGUUCAAAGAGCUUCAGGUUGAUUCUGAAAAUGAUAUCCUAGAUGGUUUCUCAAUGAAAGAUGCGGUAAUCGACGAACUGGGAGAGAGAGUGUAGCUUAUGAUGUUCGAGACUAGAUGGCUGAGGCUCUGGCAAUGAUAAUUUGCACCUUUGAACGGGAUACUGGGGCUAUCCUUCAAAUUUCACCUACUGUAAAUAAUAGAAGACUAGACAGAGAAAGUAGCAAGAAAUGUGGGAAGAAACAAAGUAAUAGGACUUUCAGUUGCUCAACAAAUGGGUAACAAUUUUUCUUUCCAUUGAUCAUCAUGUUUGUCACUGAAGACUUAAAAUCUUUGUUUCUUUGCCAUUAGCUUCUUCUUUCUUUUGUCACAGUUUUGCCAACAGACGUUUCACGUUUUAUUUAAAAUUUUCCAUUUUUUGCUGUUCAUAGGAAGCCAGUGUUUUGUAAAGUUGUAGUUAUUAGCAUAUCAUUU
RNAcentral lists this unclassified non-coding RNA (899 nucleotides) under Hevea brasiliensis (rubber tree). Lineage: Eukaryota; Viridiplantae; Streptophyta; Magnoliopsida; Malpighiales; Euphorbiaceae. The record is from RNAcentral.